RNAcentral lists this ribosomal RNA (253 nucleotides) under uncultured bacterium. RNAcentral describes it as "partial 16S ribosomal RNA". It matches the Rfam family "Bacterial small subunit ribosomal RNA", at positions 524 to 776 of the family's 1533-position model. The record is from RNAcentral.
AACGUAGGAGGCGAGCGUUAUCCGGAGUUACUGGGCGUAAAGAGCGUGUAGGCGGGUAUGCGAGGUUGGCGUGAAAGCUCCCGGCUAAACUGGGAGACUGCGUUGAAGACUGCGUAUCUAGAGGCAAGUAGAGGGACGUGGAAUUCCGGGUGUAGUGGUGAAAUGCGUAGAGAUCCGGAGGAACACCAGUGGCGAAGGCGGAUCUCUGGGCCUUACCUGACGCUCAGGUGCGAAAGCUAGGGGAGCGAACAGG